GACGAACGCUGGCGGCGUGCUUAACACAUGCAAGUCGAACGGAAAGGCCCUGCUUUUGUGGGGUGCUCGAGUGGCGAACGGGUGAGUAACACGUGAGUAACCUGCCCUUGACUUUGGGAUAACUUCAGGAAACUGGGGCUAAUACCGGAUAGGAGCUCCUGCUGCAUGGUGGGGGUUGGAAAGUUUCGGCGGUUGGGGAUGGACUCGCGGCUUAUCAGCUUGUUGGUGGGGUAGUGGCUUACCAAGGCUUUGACGGGUAGCCGGCCUGGGAGGGUGACCGGCGACAAUGGGACUGAGGUACGGCCCAGAGUCGUACGGGAGGCAACAGUGGGGAAUAUUGCACAAUGAGCGGAAGCCUGAUGCAGCAACGCCGCGUGCGGGAUGACGGCCUUCGGGUUGUAAACCGCUUUCGCCUGUAACGAAGCGUGAGUGACGGUAAUGGGUAAAGAAGCACCGGCUAACUACGUG
RNAcentral lists this ribosomal RNA (468 nucleotides) under uncultured bacterium. RNAcentral describes it as "partial 16S ribosomal RNA". It matches the Rfam family "Bacterial small subunit ribosomal RNA", at positions 28 to 507 of the family's 1533-position model. The record is from RNAcentral.